RNAcentral lists this long non-coding RNA (205 nucleotides) under Elaeis guineensis (African oil palm). RNAcentral's name for it is "long non-coding RNA (EGUI_LNC073915)". The record is from RNAcentral. Lineage: Eukaryota; Viridiplantae; Streptophyta; Magnoliopsida; Arecales; Arecaceae.
AGCAAGAGUAUAACAGUUGAGUAAAAUUUUACUAGUACCUUAUGUCGUAGUUCAUAAGCCACUAGUAAAUCCUAUUCAUCUAUUAUAUCCUGCCAUAGUUCAAAUCAAAUAUGACUCACAAAUCAGCUCAAUAUAUAUCAAAACAAACUUUAAGCUUUUAUUCUUCAUUUCAUAGCUGUAUACAUGUGACUUUAAAGUAUAAUAC